CACUAUUAAUACAUUACACUGAAUACCCCCGAUCUCACCUGAUUUUGGAAGCUAAGCAGGGUCAAGGCCUGGCUAGUAAUUGGCUAGGAAACCACCAAGAAAUAGCAGGGAUCUCUGGAGA
This 121-nucleotide ribosomal RNA is filed under the name Pogona vitticeps (central bearded dragon). The record is from RNAcentral. Lineage: Eukaryota; Metazoa; Chordata; Lepidosauria; Squamata; Agamidae.